UACGUAGGGGGCUAGCGUUGUCCGGAUUUAUUGGGCGUAAAGAGCGUGUAGGCGGCCAGGUAGGUCUGCUGUGAAAACUCGAGGCUCAACCUCGAGACGCCGAUGGAAACCCCCGAACUAGAGUCCGGAAGAGGAGAGUGGAAUUCCUGGUGUAGCGGUGAAAUGCGCAGAUAUCAGGAAGAACACCCGUGGCUAAGGCGGCUCUCUAGUACGGUACUGACGCUGAGACGCGAAAGCGUGGGGAGCGAACAGG
This 253-nucleotide ribosomal RNA is filed under the name uncultured bacterium. RNAcentral describes it as "partial 16S ribosomal RNA". It matches the Rfam family "Bacterial small subunit ribosomal RNA", at positions 524 to 776 of the family's 1533-position model. The record is from RNAcentral.